GACGAACGCUGGCGGCGUGCUUAACACAUGCAAGUCGAACGGUAAGGCCCUUCGGGGUACACGAGUGGCGAACGGGUGAGUAACACGUGGGUGAUCUGCCCUGUACUUCGGGAUAAGCCCGGGAAACUGGGUCUAAUACCGGAUAUGACCGUGCCAUGCAUGUGGUGUGGUGGAAAGUUCCGGCGGUACAGGAUGGGCCCGCGGCCUAUCAGCUUGUUGGUGGGGUAAUGGCCUACCAAGGCGACGACGGGUAGCCGACCUGAGAGGGUGAUCGGCCACACUGGGACUGAGACACGGCCCAGACUCCUACGGGAGGCAGCAGUGGGGAAUAUUGCACAAUGGGCGAAAGCCUGAUGCAGCGACGCCGCGUGAGGGAUGACGGCCUUCGGGUUGUAAACCUCUUUUCACCAGGGACGAAGCGUGAGUGACGGUACCUGGAGAAGAAGCACCGGCCAACUACGUG
This 463-nucleotide ribosomal RNA is filed under the name uncultured bacterium. RNAcentral's name for it is "bacterial SSU rRNA". It matches the Rfam family "Bacterial small subunit ribosomal RNA", at positions 28 to 507 of the family's 1533-position model. The record is from RNAcentral.